RNAcentral lists this ribosomal RNA (406 nucleotides) under uncultured bacterium. Its description in RNAcentral is "partial 16S ribosomal RNA". It matches the Rfam family "Bacterial small subunit ribosomal RNA", at positions 30 to 526 of the family's 1533-position model. The record is from RNAcentral.
AUUGAACGCUGGCGGCAUGCCUAACACAUGCAAGUCGAACGAGUGGCGGACGUGUGUGUAAUGUCUGUGACCCUGCUCGAUGGAGGGGGAUAACUACUGGAAACAGUAGCUAUUACCGCAUACCUUCGGAUGUGCCCUGAUUGUAUGAUCUAGUAGGUGGGGUAACGGCUCACCAAGGCGACGAACCCUAGCUGGUCUGAGAGGAUGACCGGCCAAACUGGAAAUGAGAAAGGGUCCAGACUCCUACGGGAGGGAGCAGUGGGGAAUAGUGCACAAUGGGCGCAAGCCUGAUGCAGCCAUGCCGCGUGUAUGAAGAAGGCCUUCGGGUUGUAAAGUACUUUCAGCGAGGAGGCGUUACUCGCAGAAGAAGCACCGGCUAACUCCGUGCCAGCAGCCGCGGUAAUUC